Long non-coding RNA from Micropterus dolomieu (smallmouth bass), 1386 nucleotides. RefSeq lists it as uncharacterized. The transcript is spliced from 2 exons. The record is from RefSeq and is a predicted model, not a curated record. Lineage: Eukaryota; Metazoa; Chordata; Actinopteri; Centrarchiformes; Centrarchidae.
UCAGAGACAGGCAGAGGCAGGCACAGACAGCCCCAGAGCACCCGAGGGGAGCCCCAUGAUGUUGUGUCUGGUGCUCAGGCGUCAGUAUCUGUCUAACACACACGCUGACUCAAAUAUGCAGACACACAGAUGCAUGGGGCACACAUGCAUAGUCACACACACUCACGUACAUACAGAACGCCUGGGCUAAGGCUGAUGGAUGGCUGAGUCUAACAAUCUCCCCUCGACCUUGGACAGCAUGAUCACACUCUGGGACUACUCACUGGCUGUCAGCCAGGGGCUGUGCAGGCGCGGGGAACCAGCCGGAGCGACUGGCCACCAGACGGGCGGUCCCAGGAUUCCACACCAUAUCCCUGCUGGAGGAGGCUGAGAUCUGAGCAUCGGGCAGCAGGCCGGACAGCAGGCCCUGCAGGUCUGAACACGGAGCAUCUGGAGUGGAAGAGAGGCCAGAGAUAUAGUAAUGUUAACCUUCACCUCGGGAGGGUUGAUGGAGAAGUUUCAAUGAUGACCUAACGUACACUCUCAUGCUGUUACACACAUUCCCACCUGGGAGCUGUUAAGCUGCACCACAGGAUUGCACUACUGGCCACUAAGCAUUAAGAGUUUAGACGGGAGCAAAUAGGAGAGGGAGAGGUGGGAGGCUGAGGAGCGUAAAGAGAUGUGUAGCGCAGCACUAUUGCUUCAUGUUGAAUAUGCAAUUAGACUUCCAUUAGUCAGAUAAAAGCAUAUGUUAACUUUGCUGCUGAAUAGGCACAUGUCCCUGCUUGGCAUCCAUACACUUCACAUAUCAAUAUCUUAUUUCACUGUAUUGUAUCUUUAUAGUCUAUACAAUAGCUUGUGUGUUCACUGUGCUGCACACAUUUUAUGUAUAUUCACUGAUUGAGGGAAACUUCCAAGUACACGUAAAAGCACUUGGAAAUAACUCAUUCAGAUAUGGAUGGGAGAGUAGCAUUGAAAGUAACUUGCUUAGGGAGUGUGUGAGAGGGAGAAAUGAGGAUUAAGGGGAUAAGAAAGGUAUAAUAUGAGAAGUUGGGAGGCAGAGAAUUACAGAGUGGAAACAAGCGAGAGAAAGACACUCAGAGCUGAAGAUGACGGCUUGGGGAAACUGGGAGGAGAAGAUGUGGAGAUGAGACUCCUACAGAGAGAAACAGUGGGAGAGGGAAGGAUAGAGUAGGAUGAGCGAGAGACUAGGGGUGGUGGGUGAGGGUGGUGAGAGGUGGGGAGAGCUUGAGAGACACGGAAGAAGACAGAAAGGGCAGGAGGAAGGGAGAUGGGGAGAUGUUAGUUGUGCUGACGGUUUAAGAGAACACAGAUCAAAGUUUCAUGCUGUUAUGUCACUGCAAAAGCAGGAGAUGUAAAUAAUAAAUAAAAGGCACUGGAAGUGUA